This 497-nucleotide ribosomal RNA is filed under the name uncultured bacterium. RNAcentral describes it as "partial 16S ribosomal RNA". It matches the Rfam family "Bacterial small subunit ribosomal RNA", at positions 28 to 507 of the family's 1533-position model. The record is from RNAcentral.
GAUGAACGCUGGCGGCGUGCCUAAUACAUGCAAGUCGUGCGAACAGAUAAGGAGCCUGCUCCUUUGACGUUAGCGGCGGACGGGUGAGUAACACGUGGAUAACCUACCUAUAAGACUGGGAUAACUUCGGGAAACCGGAGCUAAUACCGGAUAACAUAUUGAACCGCAUGGUUCAAUAGUGAAAGGCGGCUUUGCUGUCACUUAUAGAUGGAUCCGCGCCGUAUUAGCUAGUUGGUAAGGUAACGGCUUACCAAGGCAACGAUACGUAGCCGACCUGAGAGGGUGAUCGGCCACACUGGAACUGAGACACGGUCCAGACUCCUACGGGAGGCAGCAGUAGGGAAUCUUCCGCAAUGGGCGAAAGCCUGACGGAGCAACGCCGCGUGAGUGAUGAAGGUCUUCGGAUCGUAAAACUCUGUUAUCAGGGAAGAACAAAUGUGUAAAUAACUGUGCACAUCUUGACGGUACCUGAUCAGAAAGCCACGGCUAACUACGUG